RNAcentral lists this transfer RNA (56 nucleotides) under Coemansia sp. RSA 2610. RNAcentral describes it as "tRNA-Ala". It matches the Rfam family "tRNA", at positions 10 to 63 of the family's 71-position model. Rfam says of the family: Transfer RNA (tRNA) molecules are approximately 80 nucleotides in length. Their secondary structure includes four short double-helical elements and three loops (D, anti-codon, and T loops). The record is from RNAcentral. RNAcentral also lists the same sequence under 1 other name. Lineage: Eukaryota; Fungi; Kickxellomycota; Kickxellomycetes; Kickxellales; Kickxellaceae.
GCUCAGAUGGUAGAGCGCUCGCUUAGCAUGCGAGAGGUACUGGGAUCGAUGCCCAG